UACGAACGCUGGCGGCGUGCUUAACACAUGCAAGUCGAACGGAAAGGCCCUGCUUUUGUGGGGUGCUCGAGUGGCGAACGGGUGAGUAACACGUGAGUAACCUGCCCUUGACUUUGGGAUAACUUCAGGAAACUGGGGCUAAUACCGGAUAGGAGCUCCUGCUGCAUGGUGGGGGUUGGAAAGUUUCGGCGGUUGGGGAUGGACUCGCGGCUUAUCAGCUUGUUGGUGGGGUAGUGGCUUACCAAGGCUUUGACGGGUAGCCGGCCUGAGAGGGUGACCGGCCACAUUGGGACUGAGAUACGGCCCAGACUCCUACGGGAGGCAGCAGUGGGGAAUAUUGCACAAUGGGCGGAAGCCUGAUGCAGCAACGCCGCGUGCGGGAUGACGGCCUUCGGGUUGUAAACCGCUUUCGCCUGUGACGAAGCGUGAGUGACGGUAAUGGGUAAAGAAGCACCGGCUAACUACGUGCCAGCAGCCGCGGUGAUACGUACGGUGCGAGCGUUGUCCGGAUUUAUUGGGCGUAAAGGGCUCGUAGGUGGUUGAUCGCGUCGGAAGUGUAAUCUUGGGGCUUAACCCUGAGCGUGCUUUCGAUACGGGUUGACUUGAGGAAGGUAGGGGAGAAUGGAAUUCCUGGUGGAGCGGUGGAAUGCGCAGAUAUCAGGAGGAACACCAGUGGCGAAGGCGGUUCUCUGGGCCUUUCCUGACGCUGAGGAGCGAAAGCGUGGGGAGCGAACAGGCUUAGAUACCCUGGUAGUCCACGCUGUAAACGGUGGGUACUAGGUGUGGGGUCCAUUCCACGGGUUCCGUGCCGUAGCUAACGCUUUAAGUACCCCGCCUGGGGAGUACGGCCGCAAGGCUAAAACUCAAAGGAAUUGACGGGGCCCCGCACAAGCGGCGGAGCAUGCGGAUUAAUUCGAUGCAACGCGUAGAACCUUACCUGGGUUUGACAUGGAUCGGGAGCGCUCAGAGAUGGGUGUGCCUCUUUUGGGGUCGGUUCACAGGUGGUGCAUGGCUGUCGUCAGCUCGUGUCGUGAGAUGUUGGGUUAAGUCCCGCAACGAGCGCAACCCUUGUUCACUGUUGCCAGCACGUUAUGGUGGGGACUCAGUGGAGACCGCCGGGGUCAACUCGGAGGAAGGUGGGGAUGACGUCAAGUCAUCAUGCCCCUUAUGUCCAGGGCUUCACGCAUGCUACAAUGGCUGGUACAGAGAGUGGCGAGCCUGUGAGGGUGAGCGAAUCUCGGAAAGCCGGUCUCAGUUCGGAUUGGGGUCUGCAACUCGACCCCAUGAAGUCGGAGUCGCUAGUAAUCGCAGAUCAGCAACGCUGCGGUGAAUACGUUCCCGGGGCU
Molecule: ribosomal RNA, 1346 nt
Filed under: uncultured bacterium
Lineage: Bacteria
Description: bacterial SSU rRNA
Rfam family: Bacterial small subunit ribosomal RNA
Source: RNAcentral